Molecule: ribosomal RNA, 322 nt
Filed under: uncultured Sandonidae
Lineage: Eukaryota; Cercozoa; Glissomonadida; Viridiraptoridae
Description: SSU rRNA
Rfam family: Eukaryotic small subunit ribosomal RNA (bases 62-322)
Source: RNAcentral
GAUUUCUGGCUUGAAACAUUUUGCCGGCCACGGUUUCGUGUGUUAGUGCUUGAUGUUCUGGCCAUCCUUCCAAUCGCUGAUGACCUUUCUUCAUUGAUUGGUCAUUGGUAUUGGAUCUUUUACUUUGAAAAAAUUAGAGUGUUUCAAGCAGGCUUUAUGCUAUGAAUACAUUAGCAUGGAAUAAUAAUUUAGGACUUCGGUUCUAUUUUGUUGGUUUCUAGGACUGAAGUAAUGAUUGAUAGGGAUAGUUGGGGGUGCUAGUAUUCAGCGGCCAGAGGUGAAAUUCUUGGAUUCGCUGAAGACUAACUUAUGCGAAAGCAUU